Long non-coding RNA from Xiphophorus hellerii (green swordtail), 659 nucleotides. RefSeq lists it as uncharacterized. The record is from RefSeq and is a predicted model, not a curated record. Lineage: Eukaryota; Metazoa; Chordata; Actinopteri; Cyprinodontiformes; Poeciliidae. The transcript has 2 exons.
AUUUUUAAAUUAUUUGUAUUUUUGAAAGUUUUCUCUGCGGAAAGCCCAUUUGUCCCGCUCCAUGCGCGCUUGGCCACAGAAUCCUUUCUGGGUUCUCGGUGUUUCCUCAAACGCCCCUCUGCUGAGUCUCAGGCUGCGGCGCUUUUCUGAUCUGUUGAAUCCCCACUCCGUGCAGAUCAGGAAGAAAAGAAAGGAAUGUAAAUCGGCACAAAAUACCGCCACAGACAAAAGCCAAAAAAUGAGAAUCUUCAAAUAGAAAAUUAACUCACCAGACAUGAUGGCUGAGAUGAUUAGAGGAUCCCUGGAGAAGAACUUUGGAUCUCCACAACGUUCUGUUCUGCCUCAGGAAAAUGGCCAAGAACGAAAUUUUUAUAAAAGUCUCCAAAAACAACAAGUCUGGUGUGUUCCAGCGGGAUCAGAGCAUACAACAAAAUUGUAAUAAAGCUGGGGAGAUAAUAGUUUGAGAUUUUCUUCCUCCAUGCCUACUAUUUAAAACCCCUAGAACUCAAUGAUUUGACAAUGAUUUGAUUGCGCGUUACUUACAAUUUGAAUAUUCAGAAGCAACGCUCUCAAAUCAAUUUUUCAAUAAAAAUAACUAUCCAAGGACUUUGUAAAAGCCCCACUUUAAUGUAAUAUAGCUGUGUUUUAUGCUUUGGUGA